Long non-coding RNA from Syzygium oleosum, 1394 nucleotides. RefSeq lists it as uncharacterized. The record is from RefSeq and is a predicted model, not a curated record. The transcript has 3 exons. Lineage: Eukaryota; Viridiplantae; Streptophyta; Magnoliopsida; Myrtales; Myrtaceae.
AUGCCUCUUGAACCAGCUUCUCUGAUUCCGAAUCAAGAGCACUUGUGGCCUCAUCGAGCAGAAGUAUUGGAGGAUCCUUGAGAAUGGCUCUGGCUAUAGCAAUUCUUUGUUUUUGUCCUCCUGAUAACUGGAAGCCCCUUUGCCCCACCUAGACCAUUUUGGCACCAGAAUUUGACUCAGAAUCCUUCUUUUUUUUUUUUUCCAAUGAGAGCUUGAGAACUUUCAAGAGAGACAUCUUUCGUUUACAUCUGUUGCUAGGAGAUUGCAUUUUACCUCUGUCAAAUACUUAUCUGGAAGUUGUGAAAUGAAAUCAUGUGCAUUUGCCAUCAUUGCUGCGUUCUCUAUUUGUUGGUCAUCUGCAUCCAUAUUUCCUACUUUAAGGUUGUCCUUGAUAGUGCCAGCAAACAGUGAUGGUUCUUGGGAAACUGCUCCAAUAUUUUGCCGUAGGAACUUCAAAUCAAGAUUCUUGAUGUUUUGGUUAUCUAUGAGAAUGACCCCUGAAAACAUGCAAUAUUAGCCCAUUGUCAGCAACCUUUGUGCACAAAAAAUGUAUGAGCAAUAGAAGCAUGAAACCAUGGGAAUAAUAUGGAGAGGAUAACAAAUAUCAGCUCAAGAGCAUGGAGUAUAAAGGUUUCAGACCUUUUGAUGGAUCAUAGAAUCUUGCAACCAGGGAUAUGAUUGUGCUUUUCCCACACCCACUGCUACCAACUAAUGCCACUGUCUUUCCUGCUGGAAUUGACAGCGUAAAACCUUGAAGAAUCACUUUAUCUUCUCGGGAUGGAAUAACUAGCUUGGUGAUCAUCAUUGGAUUGCUUCUCUGGCCGCUGUAAGACAAAACAAUCACAUCCAAAAACUCUACAAGAAAGGUGGCUCCAAUUAGUAGAAUCAAGGGAACUACAAACAAGGUGACCAGUGAAACUUCCCAACUGCAAAUGAAGGCAAUCAAGACUCCAGAAAAGAAAGUGGCGAAGCACGAAAGGAAGUGCCCCAGCUGCUAGCAAAAAAGUUAUGUUAGCAUGAUCGGCAAAUUUCGGUGGGGAAAGCUCAAAAGCAGUCAAUUUGAGGGAGAGAUUGCCACCUUCUCUCCUAUAGCAUCCUGAAUUACACUCAUGUGAGUACUUAUCCCGGCAAUGACUUUUCCACUUGACAAUUCAGUAUCAAAAGCUCCAAUCUCCUGGCUGAGGACCGAUCUCAGGAACGCUAAUCUGAUUCUUGCUGUUUGUCUUUCGCUCGUGUACAUCCAGCAUCCAAUCUCUGCAGAUAAUUGGAAGCCAUGUGAAUGCUACGUUACCGCGUACUCUCUAUACUUUUAGUUUUCUCUCUUGUAGUUAAUCCAUUGCUUCUUACUAACUCUUUUGCUAACAGUCCAAUAUGAUUAAUGAUUAUAUGAUACU